Long non-coding RNA from Neofelis nebulosa (Clouded leopard), 1202 nucleotides. RefSeq lists it as uncharacterized. Lineage: Eukaryota; Metazoa; Chordata; Mammalia; Carnivora; Felidae. The record is from RefSeq and is a predicted model, not a curated record. The transcript is spliced from 3 exons.
UUGAGGAGGAGACCGAAGAACUCAAUUCUCACGUUAUUGUUAGAAGAAAUUCCAAGAGAAGCCUAAAGAGGAGAGGAGGAGAAGGAGGUGGAGAUGAGCAGCUGUGUAUCCACCAACAGCCUGGAGGUGGGAGGUAAAGGAUUGACUCAGAAAAGCAGUCAAGAUUUAAUUAAAGACCCAGGCGUGGAGACGCUCAUGUGAGGGGAACAAAGAAGACUCACCUGUAACUGCUUGGUAUUUGUUGGGAGAGGAUGAAGGGAAGAGAUUUAUAUGAAUGUUAAGAAUAUGUAGCAAUGUGGGAGGGAGCCCAUAGGGGAAAUUGUAAGAUAAGUACAUUAAAUAUGAUUGGUUGAGAGUGUAAAGCAACAUUGGGAGAGGCUCUUGAUAGGAAUAAUUACACUAACGCAGCUGAUAGCUACAGCCCUUUGUCUCCUAGAAGUAGGAUGGCUAUUGUGGCUAGGUAGAACAGUGUUAUGAGUUAGCUAAUCAAAGAGUGUUAAAAAUCCAUGCAAACUGCAUCUUGGGCUCACCCCUACUCUAUGAGGGUGAGAGACAGGAAUGAGAAAUAAGUAUUGCUUUAUGACGCUGGCCCCGGAACUCUCAGGAAGUAGUAUAAAUCCUUCAGUAGCAGUCCUGCCGAAGGACUAAACCAGACAGGACGAUAGGUUUCAUACUGGGUACUAACUCUUGUUAAAUACCCAGAUUAUGACAUUCAGAACAGGGUCUGUCCUACAGGAACCGUGUACUAAUCAACAGAGAAGAUCUCCUGGAGGAAGACCAUUUACUUAAGUCUCUUAAGUCAUGGAGCCAUCCACCCCUUUCUCCUUAAGGGCAUAUCUCUUACUUCCUUUUGGCCAAGGGAGAAGAGGAAAGAAAAAGAAAAAGAAGAGUGAAUGAUAGCUUCAAGACUAAAAUGACCACGAAAAAAGAAGAUGCUGGCUAUGCAGCAUGGAAGAAAGCCAUUGGAUGAUGUGUUUCCUCCAUUCACCUAUCCCACUUUUUCUUUCCAUUUUCACCUCAAUUGGAAGAUUGGAGAGGCUGAGCAGUAAAUUCUGAGUCCCAGCACCAGUAAAUUUGCUGCAUUCAUUGAUGUGAUCAUCUAAAACAGGAACUGGCAAACUCUUCCAACUGCUGUUGUAGUGUGUAAGCAGCCAUAGACAAUACAUAAAUGAACAUGGCUGUGUUCCAAUAAAAUGUUUUCU